CAAAGGGAUGGAGAACCAGGGCGACACCACAGGCUUGGAGGACCAAGGCGGAGCUAGAAGAAUGGAGGACUGACAUUGUAAAUAUUGUAAGAUAUAAGUAAAAAAUAAAAAGAAAAAAGAAAAAAAGAAAAGCUAUGUAAAAAAAAUGUAUCAGAAACACAGAGGAUGUUUAAAGAUAUCUUUAUAUCCUGGGAUGAAGAAGAUGGGCUCCUCCUUCCUUGAGCUUUUUAUUUUGCAUAUAUUUAUUAUAAAUGACUGAAUGAAUGAAUGAAUGAAUGAAUGAAUGAAAUAGGCGUAAAUAUUCUAUGAUUAUUUAAUGUUGAGCAAGUUGGAUAAAAAUUAAUUUACACAUUGUCACGGUGGAGUCAGGCAUGGAAAGGAGGUGUGGAUCUAUAUGCAGGUUGUGGAGUCAGGGGCUCAGAAGACCGAGACAGAGCAAGUGGUAGUGAUGACCAAAGUGGAGCCGGAGGGAUAGAAGAUGGCGUCAUCACGUGAUUAAUUCUAACCAAUGAGACUGCUGGAACUGCAUCGCUAAUGAGCCGUCAUUCCGGAUUCGACUGCACUGCCAGUUCUGCUUCAAACAGGUAAGUUUUUUAAAUUAUAACCUUUUUUUAAAUGGUAUUUUCUGAGUUUUCUGUUAAAAUUAGUGUAACAGAUGAAAAAGCUAAUGAAUUUAUUGACUAAAAUUAAAUUACACCAAUUUUUAGUGUUUUAAUCUGAUUGUAACGUAUGCUGCCGUUUAAAUGACUAAUGGUUAUAAGGGUCGACUAGCCCAUUUUCUGGUAAUCUAUAAUUUAUAUAUGUACUUUAAAACUGCAUAAAUUCAAUGCCUUGAAUUGUUUUACAUCCAUUUUGGUGUUAAUUUGAUUCAUUAUUGUUCUCCUGUUGCUAUUUUAGCGAACUACGACCGAGCUAGGCAUAAUGAGUCAGUCAUGUCCGUUUUAUAGUUAAAAUAGCGACGUAAACGAGGCCUACAUUAAAUCUCGUUACAUAUGAUUUUAUAACCGUUCAUACAUCGAUAAACACUGUGCGCUGACAGUUAAGACAGAAAACCAUAUUUAUUUAUAUACAUGUGCUUUGUAUUUUUAUAUUGCUAUCAUGUUAAGGUGACCUAAAAAUAACAAAUUGAACGCUUUGUCUCACGCGCAAGUUGGCGCGUGCACGGAGAGACAGAGAGAGAGAGAAGUCAUUGGCCUGUGUAUUUCACAUGAAAUCAACCAUCUGUAAUUAAUUAAUUAUUAAAAGAUAUAAUUUCAUGGCCUACAUUUUUUACUUCCUUUAUAUUCACAUUAAAUAUUAAUGCAUAAUUUCUCUUGAAUGUAUAGGCUACAUUUCAUCAGCACGUUCAUCCAUACAGAGCAAUAUUUAACUGAAAUAUUAAUUCUUGUUUCUUUUUCUCCUUUUCAUUGUGUGUAAUCAGAUCAUUGGUUCUGCUCUUAUUCUUUGCCAUCUAGUCCUGAUUCCUGACUACAGGUCAUCAGGAUGACCAGGAACUACAGGACGGUUUGAGCUACACUCUGCAGGACGUUGGUCCUCCAUGACCAGGACUGGACACCACUGUCCUAAAUAAACCUAAGGAGAGCCGCUCAGGCACAGGUCACUGCAUCUUUUGCUGUAUAAAAAAGCACACAAAAAGCGGCCCAGCCACAGCUUCCGAAGUGGAAACUCCUGUUAAAUCAUGGCUCCACAAUGCAAGAGACCGGGAUGGUGGAAGGAGCAGAAGAACCAGAAGACUGGAGAUCAGGCAAAGAUCUACUGGUACCCGAGGGUAUUGAUCACUCAUCUCCAUCCACAAAUGAAUGAUUUCUGAAUGAUCAUGUGACACUGACAACUAGAUGCAGGCUGCUGAAUAUUAAGUUUUAAUAUCACAGGAAAAUUUUACUUUGUAAGAUAUAUUAAAACAGUUCAGGGCUCGACAUUAAGCCUUUUCCUGUGACGAGUAAAUCGGUCAUUCACAAACUCUGUGUUGUAAAUACAAUUUAUUCUGCAGCAUCAGUGUUAAGGCCGGCUGUGACAUGUAUAAAUCUGCAUAUUUAUGAUAUUUUUACCUUUAUCAAGGGCAUUUUGCCCAUUAUUAAAUAAAUGCUUCAUCUUUCAUUUUAAAUUCUUAAAUUUGAUCAAUAAAUUAAAUUAGUGUAAUAAGACACUGUUACCAGUCAAAUUAAAUAAUUUACACUGAAAAAUUACAACUGCAUUUAAAAAUGUUGUGAGAUUAGAUAAUAAAAAAAUGUCGGAAAGAAUGAUACUUUUAAACAUGAAACUAAACUGCCAGUAGGUGGCGGCAGGUAACUGUCUUAAUGAGUGAGUCAUUGAGUCAUUAAUUCAAACAAUGAAAUGAAAUCAGUGUCACAUUUUCAAUUGUGAUGGUAAUUCAGCACUCUUGGUCAUGUUAGUUCACCCAAAAAUGAAAAUUA
Megalobrama amblycephala (Wuchang bream) is the source of this 2414-nucleotide long non-coding RNA. RefSeq lists it as uncharacterized. The transcript is spliced from 4 exons. The record is from RefSeq and is a predicted model, not a curated record. Lineage: Eukaryota; Metazoa; Chordata; Actinopteri; Cypriniformes; Xenocyprididae.